UUUAGAAUUUAAAUAAUAAUGCUCUGUUUAGUUUCAUCAUGAACACAUUUACAUUCACAAAUGUCAACUUUUAUAACAAACAUGAAAUAAAUGUAAAUCAAAUAUCUUUUAAUACUGUAACCAAAGAAUAAAGUAGCAAUAUAAAAUGUACUUAGUACAAGAUAGAUAAUGUCAAAUCAAAUGAUUUGCUCUCACGUAAAACUCAAAUCUAACUAAAUCAUAAAAGAUAGUAACUUCAGCGUGUAAGUACGUUAAGAUCACUCCUAAUUCGAAUUAAUUUCCUUAACUUCUAGACUAAAUCUUAUAAAACCAGCUCUCCAAAAGUUAAGCUUUUCAUUGCCAGUAAUUGACAUGUAUCACUUCCUUAAAAAAUGCUGCACAAGAAGUCACAAAAAAAAAGGAAUUAUAACUUUUUAAUAAAGUAAAUUAUUUCCUCCUCUAAAACAAUUGGAAUACCAAAAAUAAUAACUGAUUGAGGUUCUAAAAGAGAAACAAUUUGAUAAUGAAUGUAAUACUAGCAGCUGGAGAGAGAAAGAAACAAACAACAUAAAGCAAAAAAUCCAACAAAGUGAACGCAACCGCCCAAACCCAACAACAACAGAAAUAAUCUAAUAUCAUAAUACAGUCGAAGAUAUGUUUUUGGUUGUGGGAGGAUGUGGGAGAGAGGAGGGUUGAAUUUUGAAAUAUUAGUUUCCGUAAAUGGUAUAGUGAGUUGAAAACUAAUGAAUGUUAUAUAAGUUUUGCAAACUAUAACAUGAACAGUGGGUUGCUCUAGUGGUGAGUGCCCUCCACUUCCAACCAAGAGGUUAUGAGUUCGAGUCACCCCAAGAGUAAGGUGGAGAGUUCUUGGAGGGAGGGAGCCGAGGGUCUAUCGAAAACAACCUCUCUACCCUAGGGUAGGGGUAAGGUCUGCGUACAAACUAUCCUCCCCAGACCCCACUAGUAGAUUAUACUGGGUUGUUAUUGUUGUUAUUGUUGUAAACUAUAACAUGAAGGGCUUCUCCCUUUGAAAAGGAAGAACAAGAAUCUUAUAAUUUUUUCAAACUUACCCGCUUCUUUUUCUUUGUGCCAACUUCACUAACUCCAGUCUUCUUGAUUAUGUUAACCUGAGAAGAAAUAUAAGAUUGGUUACUCUGGUAGUUUAGAAAAUUGUAAAUACAAGAUAUAAAAAACAGGACAAAGUCAAAUAAUAGUUUUUAUUUCCUAAUAUGAUGGCGUUUCAAUCAUAGAUCUUUAUUUUUCUGAUCUAGGCAAAAGUCUUUAAUUUACUCUUUCUUCCAGGUUCUACAAGAGUCUAAAUACCUUAUGUAGGAAGGUAAAAUCAUGCUUGAUGGGAAUCUUAUCAACAUACUGGAACUUAACUACUAAUAAAAACUUCUCAAUCAAAUCCCUUUAUAAUAUGUUUCAUAUUAGUAAUGAUAUCUCCAAAAUCACUAAAGAUACUUCUAUUAAUUGCAUUUGGAAGAUAAGGUCGCUAAAUAAGAUAAAGUAAAUUUGACUUCUAUGCCAAGUAAAAUUACCCACUAAUUAUCUCUUAAGUAAGAGAUUAAUUUAGCUAGCUGAAAUGAACCAUACAUCAGAAUAUACCCUUCAAAUUAUUUUACACUCAAGCAACACAUAAUAGCCACAUAUCCAAAAAAAAAGAAAAAAGGCAGACAUUAGAAUUCUGAACCUUAUAAGAAAUAUGCAAGAGAAGAAACCAAAUAACUUAUAAAUCAAACAUCAUAUGAUGUUAAAAAAUAAUCUAACCUUCCAUGUGAAUAAAGAACAAUUGAAUCAAAUAUAUGAGCAAAAAUAAACUUGUAAAAACUUACGGUGUGACCUAUUUUAUACGACCAAUCAGCCGCACUCCAUCCACAAAUAUAAGCAAAUAACUUUUACAUAAUCCAAUGCAACAUUUUCUUAAUCCUUAAACUCUUGGUAAAGUAAUUUUUCUUUUCCAUGGCAGAGAUAAAUCAAAUUAAGCAACUAAAUGUGGCAAACAUAAACCGCCUUUUAGAUUUGAUUGUCGCAUUAACUUCUUUAGGUCACAGGAUUACAUGGAAUUGUCCUAAAGAAAAGCUCCCUAUCAAUAAAAGUUACUUGAAAGAGGGAGACAAACCCAUGUCCCUACAAAAGACCACCGAGUCAAUAAGCUAGAGAUAAUUCAGUUAAGAAGAAGGAAAAAAUGGUGUGGAAUUGGCUAGAGAGAAACAAUGAAGAUGAUAACCCAGGCUAUUAAAACUAAUCCACUAUGACUUCUCCCUGCUGGCUUAGGGCCGACUGCUAGCCUCUAUGAUCAUCACAACGUCACAAACUUUAGCCACUAUCACUGACCACCCACGUUUAUUACAACUUGAAUUUCAAUCAAAUGCACAUAUGCAAGAAAAGGUGAAAUACUCGGUCACUGCAAAGUUUUUACCAAUAACUUAAACCGACUAUGUGUGCUUAAACAAAGAAUUGUUCUUUUGAAAUUAUCGGAGCCCAUCUGGUUAAAGUGCAACUAGCACAAUUAAACCCUUAGGCAAUAACUCCAAUAUAAUGUAGACACGUAAAAGAUUGUAAUUAACAUUUUCCCAAAAUAGCACAAGCUACAAAUCCAAGAUUCUUUAAAAUGGGAAUGCAACUAUCCCUGAAACCCAUGUGAGGUACAUACCCAAAAAACAUAUACAUAACUUUCUUAAGUUGAAAUUAGACACGAGAAGAAAGUAAAAGCAAUAAACAAAGGCUACACCCAUAGUAACAUCAAUUCGUAAUUUAUAGUUAAAAAGAUAUAGUUAAAAUGAGUUUAGGAACUUACCUUCUUUGUGUGAACAACUGAAACAGAUGAUAGUGAUUGUUGGUGAUCGUCCAUUGAGUUAUCAUAAACCUAUCACAAACUAAUGAAUCUUACAAACUAGUUCACUCCAUUGCCACAAUAUAUAAUAUUUUAUC
RNAcentral lists this long non-coding RNA (2913 nucleotides) under Nicotiana tabacum (common tobacco). RNAcentral describes it as "long non-coding RNA (NTAB_LNC008968)". The record is from RNAcentral. Lineage: Eukaryota; Viridiplantae; Streptophyta; Magnoliopsida; Solanales; Solanaceae.